CCAGCUCCAAUAGCGUAUAUUUAAGUUGUUGCAGUUAAAAAGCUCGUAGUUGGAUUUCGGGUGGGUUCUAGCGGUCCGCCUAUGGUGAGUACUGCURUGGCCCUCCUUUCUGYCGGGGACGGGCUCCUGGGCUUCACUGUCCGGGACUCGGAKUCGRCGWUGWUACUUUGAGUAAAUUAGAGUGUUCAAAGCARGCMUACGCYCUGAAUACUUUAGCAUGGAAUAWCRCGAUAGGACUCUGGCCUAUCUYGUUGGUCUGUAGGACCGGAGUAAUGAUUAAGAGGGACAGUCGGGGGCAUUCGUAUUUCAUUGUCAGAGGUGAAAUUCUUGGAUUUAUGAAAGACGAACUACUGCGAAAGCAUUUGCCAAGGAUGUUUUCAUUAAUCAAGAACGAAAGUUGGGGGCUCGAAGACGAUUAGAUACCGUCGUAGUCUCAACCAUAAACGAUGCCGACUAGGGAUUGGMGGAUGUUYUUUUGAUGACUYCKCCAGCACCUUAUGAGAAAUCAAAGUUUUUGGGUUCCGGGGGGAGUAUGGUCGCAAGGCUGAAACUUAAAGGAAUUGACGGAAGGGCACCACCAGGCGUGGAGCCUGCGGCUUAAUUCGACUCAAC
Molecule: ribosomal RNA, 612 nt
Filed under: uncultured alga
Lineage: Eukaryota
Description: partial 18S ribosomal RNA
Rfam family: Eukaryotic small subunit ribosomal RNA
Source: RNAcentral